GACGAACGCUGGCGGCGUGCUUAACACAUGCAAGUCGAACGGAAAGGCCCUGCUUUUGUGGGGUGCUCGAGUGGCGAACGGGUGAGUAACACGUGAGUAACCUGCCCUUGACUUUGGGAUAACUUCAGGAAACUGGGGCUAAUACCGGAUAGGAGCUCCUGCUGCAUGGUGGGGGUUGGAAAGUUUCGGCGGUUGGGGAUGGACUCGCGGCUUAUCAGCUUGUUGGUGGGGUAGUGGCUUACCAAGGCUUUUGCGGGUAGCCGGCCUGAGGGUGACCGGCCACAUGGGGACUGAGAUACGGCCCAGACUCCUACGGGAGGCAGCAGUAGGGAAUAUUGCACAAUGGGCGGAAGCCUGAUGAAGCAACGCCGCGUGCGGGAUGACGGCCUUCGGGUGGUAAACCGCUUUCGCCUGUGACGAAGAGUGAGUGACGGUAAUGGGUAAAGAAGCACCGGCUAACUACGUG
RNAcentral lists this ribosomal RNA (466 nucleotides) under uncultured bacterium. RNAcentral's name for it is "partial 16S ribosomal RNA". It matches the Rfam family "Bacterial small subunit ribosomal RNA", at positions 28 to 507 of the family's 1533-position model. The record is from RNAcentral.